GGGGGGGGGGGGGGGGGGGGGUGGGGCGGGGGGGGCGGGCGGGGAGGCGGUGCUGGCACCGGGGGUUAGUGGCGGACGGGUGAGUAAUACGUGAGUGACCUACCUUUGCCGCUGGGAUAAGCCGGGGAAACUGGGGCUAGUACCGGAUACGACCAAUCUCUGCAUGGGGUGUGGGUGGAAAGCGUUAUGGGGUGGUUUUCGAUGGGCUCACGGCCUAUCAGCUUGUUGGUGGGGGAAUGGCUUACCAAGGCGACGACGGGUAGCCGGCCUUAGAGGGUGACCGGCCAAACUGGGAAUGAGAAACGGCCCAGACUCCUACGGGAGGCAGAAGUGGGGAAUAUUGCACAAUGGGCGCAAGCCUGAUGCAGCGACGCCGAGUGAGGGAUGACGGCCUUCGGGUUGUAAACCUCUGUUAGCAUCGAAGAAGCGAAAGUGACGGUAGGUGCAGAGAAAGCGCCGGCUAACUACGUG
Molecule: ribosomal RNA, 471 nt
Filed under: uncultured bacterium
Lineage: Bacteria
Description: partial 16S ribosomal RNA
Rfam family: Bacterial small subunit ribosomal RNA
Source: RNAcentral